Molecule: ribosomal RNA, 450 nt
Filed under: uncultured bacterium
Lineage: Bacteria
Description: partial 16S ribosomal RNA
Rfam family: Bacterial small subunit ribosomal RNA
Source: RNAcentral
GUGGGGAAUCUUAGACAAUGGGCGAAAGCCUGAUCCAGCCAUGCCGCGUGUGUGAAGAAGGUCUUCGGAUUGUAAAGCACUUUAAGUUGGGAGGAAGGGCAGUAAGUUAAUACCUUGCUGUUUUGACGUUACCGACAGAAUAAGCACCGGCUAACUUCGUGCCAGCAGCCGCGGUAAUACGAAGGGUGCAAGCGUUAAUCGGAAUUACUGGGCGUAAAGCGCGCGUAGGUGGUUUUGUAAGUUGGAGGUGAAAUCCCCGGGCUCAACCUGGGAACUGCCUCCAAAACUACUGAGCUAGAGUACGGUAGAGGGUAGUGGAAUUUCCUGUGUAGCGGUGAAAUGCGUAGAUAUAGGAAGGAACACCAGUGGCGAAGGCGACUACCUGGACUGAUACUGACACUGAGGUGCGAAAGCGUGGGGAGCAAACAGGAUUAGAAACCCGGGUAGUCC